This 619-nucleotide ribosomal RNA is filed under the name uncultured bacterium. RNAcentral describes it as "bacterial SSU rRNA". It matches the Rfam family "Bacterial small subunit ribosomal RNA", at positions 100 to 698 of the family's 1533-position model. The record is from RNAcentral.
AAGGUGAGUGGUGCAUGAGUAAUCUACCUCAAACUUUGGGAUAACGUUUGGAAACAGGCGCUAAUACCAGAUAAGGUGCAGGGGGGCAACCCCCUGCAUGAAAGAAGGGGACCUAGUGAUAGGCCUUUUGGUUGGAGAGGAGCUCAUGGGAUAUCAGCUUGUUGGUGAGGUAAAGGCUCACCAAGGCUAAGACGUCUAGGCGGACUGAGAGGUUGACCGCCAACACUGGAACUGAGACACUGUCCAGACUCCUACGGGAGGCUGCAGUCGAGAAUCUUUCGCAAUGGGCGAAAGCCUGACGAAGCGACGCCGUGUGAACGAUGAAGGCCUUCGGGUUGUAAAGUUCUUUCGCCUAGAAACAAGAGAUAGGGUGUAAUACACUCUUGAUUUGAGGGUACUAGGUAAAGAAGCACCGGCUAACUCCGUGCCAGCAGCUGCGGUAAUACGGAGGGUGCGAGCAUUAAUCGGAAUUACUGGGCGUAAAGGGCGCGUAGGCGGGAUUGUAAGUCAGAUGUGAAAUUCCAACGCUUAACGUUGGAGCUGCUUCUGAAACUACUUUUCUUGAGGAUAAGCGGGAGAAAACGGAAUUCCAUGUGUAGCGGUGAAAUGCGUAGAUAUA